AUUGAACGCUGGCGGAAGGCCUAACACAUGCAAGUCGAGCGAGCGGAGGACGGGUGAGUAAUGUCUGGGAAACUGCCUGAUGGAGGGGGAUAACUACUGGAAACGGUAGCUAAUACCGCAUACCAUCAGAUGUGCCCAGAUGGGAGUAUCUAGUAGGUGGGGUAAUGGCUCACCUAGGCGACGAACCCUAGCUGGUCUGAGAGGAUGACCAGACACACUGGAACUGAGAAACGGUCCUGACUCCUAGGGGAGGCAGCAGUGGAGAUUAUUGCACAAUGGGCGAAAGCCUGAAGCAGCCAGUCCGGGUGUGUGAAGAAGGCCUUCGGGUUGGAAAGCACUUUCAGCGGGGAGGCGUUUCCCGCAGAAGAAGCAGCGGCUAAAUCCGUGCCAGCAGCCGCGGGAAUC
RNAcentral lists this ribosomal RNA (405 nucleotides) under uncultured bacterium. RNAcentral describes it as "partial 16S ribosomal RNA". It matches the Rfam family "Bacterial small subunit ribosomal RNA", at positions 29 to 525 of the family's 1533-position model. The record is from RNAcentral.